GGGGCGGUGAUGAUUCCAACAUGCCAUCUGAUUGCCCAUGCUGAAAUCCAGAGGCUGUUUCUGAGCUG
This 68-nucleotide small nucleolar RNA is filed under the name Catagonus wagneri (Chacoan peccary). RNAcentral describes it as "Small nucleolar RNA SNORD95 (ENSCWAG00000010122.1)". It matches the Rfam family "Small nucleolar RNA SNORD95". From Rfam's summary of the family: snoRNA U95 (also referred to as Z38 ) is a member of the C/D class of snoRNA which contain the C (UGAUGA) and D (CUGA) box motifs. This family is predicted to target two neighbouring 2'-O-methylations, Cm2801 and Am2792, in 28S rRNA. Lineage: Eukaryota; Metazoa; Chordata; Mammalia; Artiodactyla; Tayassuidae. The record is from Rfam by way of RNAcentral.